Molecule: long non-coding RNA, 225 nt
Organism: Hippocampus comes (tiger tail seahorse)
Lineage: Eukaryota; Metazoa; Chordata; Actinopteri; Syngnathiformes; Syngnathidae
Exons: 2
Source: RefSeq, a predicted model, not a curated record
GUCCUCCAGCAUCCCUUCGUCAAAAUCCAGCAGUAAAUAAGGCGACGUCCUGUUGCCCAACUUCUCUGACGUGUUCGCUGCAAGUUCCGCGAAAGACAGCAUCUCACUCGUCUCCGGAUCAAGGCGAGUUGUGAGCCAAGGCCAACAGGAGUAUACAGACCAAGAUGGACAGCCGAAUGACGUCACCUACAUUCCCUUCGAUGCAAGACUUGAUAAUAGGGAGUC